GUGUGCCUUCUUGGGGAGGUGUCCAUGGAGCACCGCUCUCAAACAAGGGGAGAGUGGGGGAAGGGGCAGAGGUGUUCAUCUCCCACGCAAAGGAAGAAGCCACCACUUUAGCACCUUCAGGCUCGUAGGCAGCCCAGCAGAGGAGCAAGAAGGUUGAAGGAAAAUGAUUCUACAUGGAAGCACAAAUCUACAGAAAAGAAUGAAGAGUGUCAGAAAUGUCAAAGAUGCCUAGUUUGCAGUUUGCAGAGCUAUCUGCUGGGCUGGCGGGAGAGCUGGAGAGCCGUGAAAAGAAACCAGAGAAGCUUGCUCACAAAAGACUGAAAUCCUGAAGCUCCUUGGAGACAUGGCACCUUUCUGAUAUCAUCUUCGGAUCACAGAGAAGUCUUCUGAAAUGGGAGGAAACUUGGUUCUUUUCUAUUUCCCUUUGGCUAAAACGUGGCUCUCAUUCACGUGCCCGAUGCGCCAGGGCCCCAAGGAGACAGGCUCAUUUCCAGUAUUGACGUGCCUGCCGUCUGUCAAAGACCUGGUGGAUGCUUCCCGCCACCCGGAUUCAUCUGCCUCCAGGACAGAGGGGCCCGUUGGGCAAUCCAUCAUGGAGCACACCUGGUCUGCCCACAGGAGACAGC
Molecule: long non-coding RNA, 626 nt
Organism: Canis lupus familiaris (dog)
Lineage: Eukaryota; Metazoa; Chordata; Mammalia; Carnivora; Canidae
Exons: 5
Source: RefSeq, a predicted model, not a curated record